GUGUUUUCAGUGUUAAACACUGCUGAAGGUGUUCAUGCAUGACUGUUGGUGGUUGACCAAUGAAUUCAGUUUGUAUGAGUUUGAAGAUGAAGACCUGUCUGAACUUACUGAGAUAACAGAUCAAUACCAUAAUCAGGGACUAAGGAACAAACAAUGGCAGUCACUGAGGAUGGAAAAGCCACAGCAUCACUUGCCAACAUGGAUGAGGCAUUAGGGCAGUCUGCACCAGUCUAAUUGCCCCGAUCGAAGAGGACAAACCAGGGCCAAACGCUGCACUAGCAUCACCAGAAGGUAGAGAUGAGAGGGAAAGCAAGAGAGCAGGGAGA
Molecule: long non-coding RNA, 326 nt
Organism: Perca fluviatilis (European perch)
Lineage: Eukaryota; Metazoa; Chordata; Actinopteri; Perciformes; Percidae
Exons: 3
Source: RefSeq, a predicted model, not a curated record